AUGGAAGAGUUUACAGAAUUUGCAGAAUUGGACCACAUGCAACAGUAUGUGACAGAUGUAAGGCAACUUCAAAAACGUAUUCAGGAAUCUGAGGAAGCAGUUCAGUUUAUUAAUAAAGAAGAGGAACUUUUCAAAUGGGAAUUGACAAAAUAUCCUGAACUGGAUAAAUUAAAAGUGAACAUUGAGCCCUAUCAGAAGUUUUUCAAUCUUGUUCUCAAGUGGCAACGGACAGAAAAACGGUGGAUGGAUGGAGGGUUUUUGGACCUUAAUGGGGAAAGUAUGGAAGCUGAUGUGGAUGAAUUUUUCCGAGAAAUUUUUAAGACCCUGAAAUUUUUCCAAAUGAAGCAAAAGAGGGAAUUACAAGAAAAAAGAAAGGCAGCAAAAAGGCGAUCUCUGGGAGAAGAGAGACUUGAAGAAGAACCAAAAGAGAAUCCUACUAUUACUAUGUGCUCCACAGUAAUGGAGCAGAUAAAAGUUUUUAAGGAUUAUAUCCCUACUGUCUCCAUCUUAUGUAAUCCAGGAAUGAGAACUCGUCACUGGAAGCAGAUAUCAGAAAUUGUAGGCUAUGACUUGACUCCAGAUUCUGGAACUACACUGAGAAAAAUUUUAAAAUUAAACCUUACACCAUACUUGGAAAAAUUUGAAGUGAUAAGUGCAGGUGCAAGCAAGGAAUUUUCAUUAGAGAAAGCCCUGCAUACAAUGAUGGGAACCUGGGAUGAUAUUGCUUUUCAUAUAAGUCCAUAUCGUGAUACUGGAGUCUCUAUUCUUUCUUCAGUAGAUGAGAUUCAGACUCUCCUUGAUGAUCAAAUUAUAAAAACUCAGACAAUGAGAGGCUCACCUUUCAUCAAACCAUUUGAAAAAGAGAUCAAGGCCUGGGAAGACCGCUUGAUUCGAAUACAAGAAACGAUUGAUGAAUGGUUAAAAGUACAAGCUCACUGGCUGUACCUGGAGCCCAUAUUUUGUUCUGAGGACAUCAUGCAACAGAUGCCAGAAGAAGGGCGUCAGUUUCAGACAGUAGACAGACAUUGGAGAGAUAUCAUGAAGUUCUGUGCAAAAGAUCCAAAGGUUCUUGCUGCUGCUUCUUUAGCAGGUUUAUUGGAAAAAUUGCAGAACUGCAGCGAACUUUUGGAGAAAAUUAUGAAAGGGCUUAAUGCAUAUCUUGAAAAAAAACGACUUUUCUUCCCUCGUUUUUUCUUCUUAUCUAAUGAUGAAAUGUUAGAGAUUUUGUCAGAGACCAAAGACCCACUUAGAGUUCAGCCUCAUUUAAAAAAAUGCUUCGAGGGCAUUGCUAAGUUGGAAUUCCUUCCUAAUUUGGAUAUUAAGGCCAUGUAUAGCUCUGAAGGCGAGCGAGUGCAGCUGAUUGCCCUUAUUUCCACGUCUGCAGCACGAGGUGCUGUGGAAAAGUGGCUCAUUCAAGUGGAAGAUUUAAUGCUACGGAGUAUUCAUGAUGUGAUCGCGGCAGCCAGGCUGGCUUAUCCAGAAUCCGCAAGAAAAGACUGGGUUCGAGAGUGGCCUGGCCAAGUUGUACUUUGUGUUUCUCAAAUGUUCUGGACUUCUGAGACACAGGAAGUUAUAAGUGGUGGGACAGAGUACUACAAGGAACUUCAGAAUCAACUAAAUGAUAUUGUAGAGCUGGUAAGGGGAAAACUGUCUAAGCAGACCAGGAUUACUCUGGGAGCUUUGGUUACAAUUGAUGUCCAUGCCAGAGAUGUGGUCAUGGACAUGAUUGAUAUGGGUGUGUCCCAUGAUACAGAUUUCCAGUGGCUUGCUCAGCUUCGAUAUUAUUGGGAAUUUGAAAAUGCUCGAGUUCGUAUCAUUAAUUGCAAUGUAAAAUAUGCUUAUGAAUAUCUUGGUAAUUCACCUCGACUUGUCAUUACACCUCUAACUGACAGGUGUUACAGAACAUUGAUAGGUGCCUUCUAUUUGAACCUCGGAGGAGCUCCAGAGGGGCCAGCAGGCACAGGAAAAACUGAAACCACGAAGGACUUGGCUAAAGCUCUUGCUGUCCAAUGUGUGGUGUUCAACUGUUCAGAUGGGCUAGAUUAUCUAGCAAUGGGAAAUUUUUUUUUUCAUUUUUUUUUUUUACUGGCUUCUUCUGGUGCUUGGGCUUGCUUUGAUGAAUUUAAUCGGAUUGAUUUUUUUUUUUUAUCAGUGGUAGCUCAACAGAUCCUUUGCAUUCAGAGAGCCAUUCAGCAGAAGCUGGAAGAGUUUGUUUUUGAAGGGACAGAACUUAAGCUCAAUCCAAACUGCUUUGUAGUUUUUUUUUUGAACCCUGGCUAUGCGGGACGUUCUGAAUUACCAGACAAUCUUAAGGUUCUUUUUAGAACUGUGGCUAUUUUUUUUUUUAACUAUGCCCUCAUAGCAGAAAUCUCCCUCUACUCCUAUGGAUUUUUGAAUGCGAAACCUCUGUCUGUGAAAAUAGUGAUGACCUACAGGCUUUGCUCAGAACAGCUCUCGUCACAGUUUCAUUAUGACUAUGGAAUGCGAGCAGUAAAAGCAGUUUUAGUGGCUGCUGGAAACCUAAAACUAAAAUUUCCAAAUGAAAAUGAAGAUAUACUGCUUCUUCGGUCAAUUAAAGAUGUAAAUGAACCGAAGUUUCUGUCACAUGAUAUACCCUUAUUUAAUGGAAUAACUAGUGACCUAUUUCCUGGUAUUAAACUUCCUGAAGCUGACUAUCUUUUUUUUUUACCUUUACUACAGUGUGAAGGAUUGUUUGGCAUGUCCUUCCACAUCCUAACCAAGGUUCUACAUAUACUGGCUGAUACUCUAACUCUUAUGAAUGAACGUGGCUACAGAGAGGAAGAAAAGGUCAUUUAUAGGACUGUAAACCCCAAAUCCAUUACUAUGGGCCAAUUUUUUUUUUAAUUUGAUCCAGUGUCUCACGAGUGGACCGAUGGUAUUGUGGCCAAUAUUUUUUUUUUAUUUGCCUUAUCAGAAACACCAGACCGGAAAUGGGUUGUAUUCGAUGGUCCUUUUUUUUUUUUGUGGAUAGAGAGCAUGAACACAGUAUUGGAUGACAAUAAAAAGCUUUGCCUUAUGAGUGGAGAAAUCAUUCAGUUUUUUUUUUAGAUGAGCCUCAUCUUUGAAGCAAUGGACCUUUCCCAGGCCUCGCCGGCCACCGUAAGCCGCUGUGGCAUGAUUUAUUUGGAUUUUUUUUUUUUAGGAUGGGAACCACUUGUGUCCUCGUGGUUGAAUUCCCUGAAAGGACCUUUUUUUUUUUCAGAUAAUCAGGCUCUUCUGAAAGGACUUUUUGGCUGGUUAAUAAAACCCACUUUAAAGCUUCGUAAGAAAAACUGCAAGGAACUGAUUCCUACAAGUGAUAGCAAUGUGGUUGUAUCUCUCACACGCCUCUUUGAGGUACUUUUUUUUUUUGUGCUGGAAAAUGAUCCUACAAGCAAGCAUAUUCGUGUUUGGAUUAUGCACAUGGCCAUGACGCCGAUCCCAGGCAGGAUCUCGAACCACAUCCUGCGUGGUUGCCAGAGUCAAACCCCUGCCUUCCCGGCCCGAGACGAAAACAACCCAGUGCCUGAAUCUGUGGGUAAAUGGGAAUGCCAGUUUGAUGAAAAAGGUCUGGUCUAUGACUACAUGUAUGAGUUGAAAAACCGAGGUCGCUGGCUCCAUUGGAAUGAUUUUUUUUUUAGUACUAAUUUGGGAGAAAAACGUGUCCGGAUUCAAGAUAUUAUAGUACCUUUUUUUUUUUCAAUUAGAUAUACAUUUCUAAUGGAUUUGAGUAUUACCUAUGCAAAGCCAUUGCUUUUCGUGGGUCCGACGGGUACAGGAUUUUUUUUUUAUGUGAAGGAUAAACUAAUGAAUCACUUGGAAAAGGACCAGUAUUUCCCUUUUUUUUUUUUUUUCUCUGCACGGACCAGUGCCAACCAGGUUCAGAAUGUUAUCAUGGCUAGAUUGGACAAAAGACGCAAAGGAUUUUUUUUUUCACCUAUGGGAAAGAAGUGUGUAAUUUUUAUAGAUGACAUGAAUAUGCCUGUUUUUUUUUUAUACGGAGCUCAACCUCCUAUUGAAUUACUACGACAAUUUUUUGACUGUGGUUUUUGGUAUGACCUUAAGGACACAAGUAAAAUCACACUGGUUGACAUCCUUUUUUUUUUUGCCAUGGGCCCUCCAGGUGGUGGAAGAAAUCCAGUCACUCCCCGGUUUAUUUUUUUUUUUAACAUCUGCUCUAUUAAUACUUUCAGUGAUGAAACUAUGGUCCGAAUCUUCUCAUCAAUUGUAGCAUUCUACCUGAGGACUCGGGAAUUUCUUCCAGAGUACUUUUCAAUUGGGAACCAGAUUGUCAGUGGGACAAUGGAGAUAUACAAACGAUCCAUGGAAAAUCUUUUGCCCACUCCCAUGAAAUCUCAUUACACUUUCAACUUGCGGGAUUUUUCACGUGUCAUCCAGGGCUGCUUACUCAUUGAGAUUUUUUUUUUGGAGAGCAAGCACACCAUGAUCCGCCUGUUCGUACAUGAGGUUCUCCGUGUUUUUUUUUUUCGCCUCAUUAAUGAUAAUGAUCGAUACUGGCUGUUCAAUUUAAUCAAAGCUGUGAUAAGGGACCAUUUUAAAGAAUCUUUUGAUGGUAUUUAUUUUGAGAAGAUUUGUCUUCAGAGGAAUUAUAUAACUGAAGAGUUUUUUUUUUAUCUCAUGUUUGGCGAUUAUAUGAAUCCCGACCUUGAAGGAGAUGACAGAGUUUUUUUUUUAAUUCCAAAUAUUCAUCAUUUUAGUGACAUUGUGGACCAAUGCUUAGAUGAUUUUUUUUUUACUCACAAAACAAGAAUGAAUCUUGUCAUUUUUAGGUAUUUUUUUUUUCAUUUAUCACGUAUAUGUCGAAUUCUAAAGCAGUCUGGUGGAAAUGCUUUGCUUGUUGGGCUUGGAGGCAGUGGUCGUCAAUCUUUAACUCGUCUGGCUACAUCCAUGGCAAAAAUGCAGAUUUUCCAACCAGAAAUUUCUAAAAGCUAUGGUAUGAAUGAGUGGAGAGAGGAUCUGAAGGUUCUAUUAAGGAAUGUGGGCAUGAGGGGCCAGAAGACAGUCUUUCUAAUCACAGACACUCAGAUUAAAGAGGAAGCCUUUCUAGAAGAUAUUGACAGUGUGCUCAAUACUGGAGAAGUACCUAACAUUUUUGCUGCUGAUGAAAAACAGGAAGUGAUGGAGGGUGUUCGUCCUGUAGCUCAGGCUGGCAAUAAACACAGUGAACUCAGUCCCUUGGCCUUGUUUGCUUUCUUUGUGAAUCGCUGCAAAGAUAAUCUUCAUGUUGUAGUGGCCUUUAGCCCCAUUGGAGAUGCCUUUAGAAAUCGCUUGAGACAGUUCCCAUCCCUCAUCAAUUGCUGUACCAUUGACUGGUUCCAGCCAUGGCCUGAAGAUGCCCUUGAACUUGUAGCUGUGAAAUUCUUAGAAACACUGGAGCUUACUGAGGUUGAAAGGCGAGAGAUAGUUCCAAUCUGCAAACACUUUCACACUACCGUUAUGGAUCUAUCAGAGAGGUUCUUGCAGGAGCUAGGACGACAUAACUAUGUUACGGCUACUUCUUAUCUUGAACUUAUUGCCUCAUUUCGACAGCUUUUGACUAAGAGGCGGCAAGCUAUCAUGGAAGCAAAACAACGAUACGUGAAUGGGCUUGACAAAUUAGCUUUUGCUGAGUCUCAGGUUGGAGAAAUGAAAAUGGAGCUUGUCCAAUUACAGCCCAAAUUGGAGGAAGCUAAAAUUGAAAAUGCACAUAUGAUGCAGAUUAUUGAGAUAGAGUCCGCACAAGUGGAAGCAAAAAGAAAGUUCGUGAAAUUAGAUGAAGAGAUAGCCAGUGGCAAGGCUGAAGAAGCCCAAGCUCUGAAAAACGAGUGUGAGAGUGACCUAGCCGAGGCAAUUCCAGCCUUGGAAGCAGCGCUGUCUGCCCUGGAUACACUCAAGCCAGCUGACAUUACAAUUGUGAAAUCAAUGAAGAAUCCUCCAUCUGGUGUUAAAUUAGUUAUGGCUGCUAUUUGUGUCAUGAAAGAUAUAAAGCCAGAAAAAAUUUCAGAUCCUUCAGGAACUGGAGGCAAGAUACUAGAUUACUGGGGACCUAGCAAAAAGCUUCUGGGAGAUAUGAAUUUCUUAAGAGAAUUGAGAGAAUAUGACAAGGACAACAUUCCAGUGACUGUUAUGCAGAAGAUACGUGGUGAAUACCUAACAAACCCUGAGUUCGACGCUUCUAAGAUUGCUAAAGCUUCCUCUGCCGCUGAGGGUCUGUGCAAGUGGAUCAUGGCUAUGGAAGUGUAUGACAGAGUUGCAAAGGUAGUGGCUCCUAAGAAAGCCCGCUUAACAGAAGCUCAGAAGUCCUUAGCUGAGAUAAUGGAGCUUUUGAAUCAGAAGAGAGCAGAAUUGGCAGAAGUAGAACAUCAUUUGGAAAAUUUACAAAGAACAUUUAUUGAGAAAACUGAGGAAAAGGCUCGUUUAGAAGACCAGGUAGAACUCUGUGCUAAGAAGCUUGAAAGAGCCUCAAAACUAAUUGGAGGACUAGGUGGAGAAAAAUCAAGAUGGUCUCAGGCUGCAGAUGACCUUCAGAUAAUUUAUGAAAAUUUGACUGGUGAUGUCUUAGUCUCAGCAGGAGUAAUAGCCUAUCUUGGUGCUUUCACUUCUGGCUUUCGGCAAAAAUGUACAGAAAAUUGGAGCGUGUUGUGCAAGGAGAAAAAAAUUCCAUGUUCAGAAGAGUUCUCAUUGAGUAAGACUCUGGGUGAUCCAGUAAAAAUUAGAGCUUGGAAUAUUGCUGGAUUGCCAACAGAUACUUUCUCCAUAGAUAAUGGAGUGAUUGUUAAUAACUCCAGGCGCUGGCCUUUAAUGAUUGACCCACAGGGUCAAGCCAAUAAGUGGAUCAAAAACUCUGAAAGAGAAAAUCAGCUUAGUGUUAUUAAGCUAUCAGAUUCAGACUAUAUGAGAACAUUGGAAAACUGUAUUCAGUUCGGAACUCCACUUCUAUUAGAAAACGUUGGUGAAGAACUGGACCCAUCUUUGGAGCCUUUACUACUUAGACAAACUUUUAAGCAAGGUGGCAUUGAUUGCAUCAGACUUGGUGAGGUCAUUAUUGAGUAUUCCUUUGAUUUCAAGUUUUAUAUCACCACAAAACUGAGAAAUCCACACUAUAUGCCAGAACUGGCUACAAAGGUGUCUUUACUCAAUUUCAUGAUAACUCCAGAAGGUCUUGAAGAUCAGUUACUAGGUAUUGUUGUUGCAAAGGAGAGACCAGAAUUAGAAGAGGAACGAAAUGCCCUUAUUCUUCAGUCUGCAGCUAAUAAGAAACAGCUAAAAGAUAUAGAGAAAAAAAUUUUAGAAACACUAUCAUCUUCAGAAGGGAACAUUUUAGAAGAUGAAAGUGCAAUUAAAGUCUUAGACUCCGCUAAAAUGAUGUCCAAUGAGAUAACAAAGAAACAGCAGAUUGCAGAAAAAACGGAACUCAAAAUAGCAGAGUCUCGAGAAGGCUACAGAGCCAUUGCUAAACAUUCAUCAGUAUUGUUCUUCAGCAUUGCAGACCUGGCUAACAUUGAUCCCAUGUACCAGUACUCUCUCACCUGGUUUGUCAACCUUUACAUCAACUCUAUUCAUGACAGUAACAAAUCCAAAAUUUUGGAAAAGCGCCUACGAUAUUUAAAUGACCACUUCACAUACAACUUAUAUUGUAAUAUAUGCCGAUCACUGUUUGAGAAGGACAAGCUGCUGUUUUCCUUUUUGUUAUGUGCCAAUCUUCUUCUGGCAAAGAAAGAGAUUGAAUACCAGGAACUGAUGUUUCUUUUAACUGGAGGAGUAAGUCUUAAGAGUGCUGAGAAAAAUCCUGAUCCGACUUGGCUACAGGAUAAAAGCUGGGAGGAAAUUUGCCGUGCAAGUGAAUUUCCUGCCUUCAAAGAACUCAGGAAGCAUUUUUGUGAACAUAUAACUGAAUGGCGGGAAAUUUAUGACAGUAAAGAGCCACACAAUGCUAAAUUUCCAGUACCAAUGGAUGAAAAACUAAAUGAACUACAGAAAAUAAUAAUUCUUCGGUGCCUAAGACCUGAUAAGAUAACUCCAGCUAUAACAAAUUAUGUAACUGACAAACUAGGGAAAAAGUUUGUGGAGCCUCCACCAUUUGAUUUGACAAAGAGUUACUUGGACUCAAACUGUACCAUUCCUUUAAUUUUUGUGCUAUCUCCGGGAGCGGAUCCCAUGGCUAGCCUGCUGAAAUUUGCAAAUGAUAAAGCUAUGUCUGGAAAUAAAUUUCAAGCAAUUUCCCUGGGACAAGGACAAGGACCAAUUGCAACAAAAAUGAUUAAAGCAGCAAUAGAAGAAGGAACUUGGGUGUGCCUACAGAAUUGUCACCUUGCCGUCUCCUGGAUGCCCACGUUGGAAAAAAUAUGUGAAGAUUUUACCCCUGAAGUCUGUAACUCGUCCUUUAGGCUUUGGCUCACAAGUUAUCCAUCUCCGAAAUUCCCGGUAACCAUCCUACAGAACGGAGUGAAAAUGACUAAUGAGCCUCCCACGGGUCUUCGGCUAAAUCUCCUUCAAUCUUACCUCACUGAUCCAAUUUCUGAUUCUCAGUUUUUCGGUGGAUGCCAGGAAAAGGAACUGACAUGGGAGAAGUUGCUGUUUGGAGUUUGUUUUUUUCAUGCCCUUGUACAAGAGAGAAAGAAAUUUGGUCCUCUUGGUUGGAAUAUUCCAUAUGGAUUUAAUGAAUCAGACUUACGCAUCAGUAUUCGACAACUACAGUUAUUUAUAAAUGAAUAUAAUACAGUUCCAUUUGAAGCUAUCUCCUAUCUGACCGGGGAAUGUAACUAUGGUGGAAGGGUGACAGACGAUUGGGACAGACGCCUCCUCUUAACCACGCUGGCUGACUUUUAUAACCCACAAAUCAUCGAAAACCCUCAUUACAAGUUUUCUCCCAGUGGAAACUAUUUUGCGCCUCCCAAAGGCACCUACGAUGAGUACAUUGAAUUCAUUAAGAAUCUCCCAUUUACUCAACACCCUGAGAUAUUUGGAUUACAUGAAAAUGUCGAUAUUUCCAAAGAUCUGCAACAAACAAAAGUCCUCUUUGAGUCCUUGCUCCUCACCCAGGGAGGCUCCAAACAGACAGGAUCCUCAGGAAGUGCUGACCAGAUUCUAUUAGAAAUCACCAAAGAUAUUCUCAAGAAGCUACCAAAUGAUUUUGACAUUGAAUUAGCACUACUGAAGUUUCCUGUGAGCUAUGAAGAGAGCAUGAAUACCGUGUUAGUACAAGAAAUGGAAAGAUUUAACAAUUUAAUUAAAACUAUACGCAACACUCUACAGGACCUUGAAAAAGCUAUUAAGGGCGUGGUUGUAAUGGAUUCUGCACUGGAGGCAUUCUCUGGCAGUCUGCUUGUUGGAAAGGUUCCAGAAAUAUGGGCUGCACGAUCAUACCCAAGUCUUAAACCCCUAGCAAGUUAUAUCACAGAUUUUCUAGCCCGGUUGAACUUUUUACAGGACUGGCAUAAUUCAGGAAAACCUAAUGUGUUCUGGCUCUCAGGAUUCUUUUUCACCCAAGCCUUCCUAACUGGAGCUAUGCAGAAUUAUGCUAGAAAAUACACCAUCCCUAUUGAUUUACUAGGAUAUGAAUUUGAGGUUAUUCCUUCGGAUACAUCCGAGAUGGCCCCAGAAGACGGCGUGUACAUCCACGGAUUGUAUCUUGAUGGGGCGCGCUGGGACAGAACAAGUGGAUUGCUUGCCGAACAACACCCCAAACUUCUAUUUGACCUGAUGCCCAUCAUAUGGAUAAAACCAACCAAAAAGUCUCAGAUUGUGAAGUCGAAUGCCUACGUCUGUCCCCUCUACAAGACAAGUGAACGUAAAGGAACUCUUUCCACUACAGGACAUUCCACUAACUUUGUUAUUGCAAUGUUGUUAAAGACGGACCAACCCACUCAACACUGGAUCAAGCGUGGGGUUGCCUUGCUUUGUCAGUUGGAUAACUAAAUUGGACAAACUUAAGAAAACAUCUGAAAG
This is an RNA transcript of Odobenus rosmarus divergens (Pacific walrus), 9948 nucleotides long. It is a transcript of the gene named dynein heavy chain 12, axonemal-like, with no coding region annotated. The transcript has 62 exons. Lineage: Eukaryota; Metazoa; Chordata; Mammalia; Carnivora; Odobenidae. The record is from RefSeq and is a predicted model, not a curated record.